This 253-nucleotide ribosomal RNA is filed under the name uncultured bacterium. Its description in RNAcentral is "partial 16S ribosomal RNA". It matches the Rfam family "Bacterial small subunit ribosomal RNA", at positions 524 to 776 of the family's 1533-position model. The record is from RNAcentral.
UACGUAGGGGGCUAGCGUUGUCCGGAAUCAUUGGGCGUAAAGCGCGCGUAGGCGGCCCGGUAAGUCCGUUGUGAAAGUCAAAGGCUCAACCUUUGAAAGCCGAUGGAUACUGCCGGGCUGGAGUCCGGAAGAGGCGAGUGGAAUUCCUGGUGUAGCGGUGGAAUGCGCAGAUAUCAGGAGGAACACCAAUAGCGAAGGCAGCUCGCUGGGACGGUAUUGACGCUGAGACGCGAAAGCGUGGGGAGCAAACAGG